Molecule: long non-coding RNA, 2330 nt
Organism: Neopelma chrysocephalum (saffron-crested tyrant-manakin)
Lineage: Eukaryota; Metazoa; Chordata; Aves; Passeriformes; Pipridae
Exons: 3
Source: RefSeq, a predicted model, not a curated record
UCUCCUUCCUUACCCAGCUUAAUUCUUUAAAUUUGCAAGUUCUGUUCAGCAGAAAGGGCCUUUUUGGUGAUCUUGCAGUUAGCCUCUUAACAGCGUAUGACUUCAGAGUUUUCUAACACUAAAUGAUAGUAAGGCAGUAAAAAUGCACUCUAAGCCUUAGAUGGAUAUCCAGGAAAGUUCAAGUUAUUGUUCAGAAGCACUGGAACUUUCUAAUUAAUCAUGUCCAAUAUUUGUUCUUUUGGCAAAAUAAUAUAUAUGCAUCUCAGGUCUUGUCCUCAUAGAUUGCACUGCUUUGGCUUUGACCUGAAGCAAAGAUGUAACUGUUAGUUUUGAUGUCUACUCCCUCCCCACCACCACCCUUAUAAUAUCAAAAGUAUUACAUGGGGCUUUAUUUAUCCUUUAUAAGAGAAGACUCUUUUGAAGUAGGAGAUAGGUAUAGUUAGCUGUGGUGCCCAAAACAAAUAUCUUGUCCUUCUCCUGUAACAAACUUAGUUUUCAAGAUGUGGCCUAAGUGUUUUAAGGCAACAAGAAGGGACAAUUUUGUGGUUGAGGCACAAGGUCUGCAUUAAACUUUAGAUUCUGGUCCUGCAAAAUUCUGCUAAUAAUUUAGGAUUAAAUCGCAUAGAGGACUUGGAUGCUUGUGCUCAGUUCUGCCAAUUGCCCACCCAGAACUGCAGUCCAGAGCCCCGAUGAGAUUUAGGGUCUGUGAGGGAUCCUGGCAGGAGAGCCCUUAUAUUACCCGAUAUUUUCAUCUGGGUCCCUCCAAGAUCCACUGUAGCUCUGCUGCUCUCAAAUUCCAUAUGGUGGCUGAUAAAAGUUGCUGUAGCAAGUGUGUCUCAUCAGCUGGGCUUAUUGCCCGGGCCCAGUGCGCGUCCUGUCCUUGCAGGUGUUACAUGUGUGUGGCUAGGCCUCGAAGUUGUCCUUCUUAGCAGGCACUGCUUCUUUGAAAUGCCAGGUUUGAAAUUUAGCUGGAAGAUAAAACUCCGUGUUUCCUUUGUCAGCUUCAGGGAAUCUAAGUCAAACAGGAAUUGAAUGAGAGGCAGUAACUGUUUAAUUGUAAAUCUUCGAAGUGUUUUUGCAAUCAAGGUAAAAGUAGUUACCUAAUGCAUGUGUUGCCUCCUUUCAACUCAAUAUUCUUAGAACUAACAAAUAGGGAAAAGAAUAAUUUUUGCACAAUAUUUUUCACUGACAGCAAUUGAUUAAUAUUUCAGGCUACACAGAUACAUGUUUUCUAAACAUAAGCCCUACCAAAGUUAAAUAAAGAUCCUUUGUAACUUAAAGCUCUAGGCAGAUACAAGAUUUUACUUUAGUGCCAGUGGUAUUCUGAUUUGUGAAUGCAAUUAUUUUUUUUAUUCUAGGCUAUCAUUGAAGUAGAGGAGUUACUGAAAUUUGUUCAGAUUUCAAUAAAUUUUCUCUCUGUUGCCUAGGAAUUAUGACUUUUUGAUACAUGAUGGAUUGAACUAAACUGUUGAAAAUUAUACAAAACCAGCUUUAUAGUUAGCCACAGGAAGCAUUUUUUAAAUUGUAUCUGUGAAGUACCAAUAUUGAAGAUCAAUUUUUUAUUAUUUAACACAGCUGAUAGUUAAUGUUAAAAAGAAGGGUUUAUUAUUCAGAAUACACAAACUGUUUCUGACUUCAGGAACUGCUUGAUCAUUUUCACAUCUCAGCAUUUUCCUUUUCUGUUCAGCCACAGAGCAAUCCCAUGUGCUAAAAUGACAUUGUGAAAGCUAAAACCUUGAUGGUGUGUGUUAAAGAGAUAAGGAAGAACAUGUACCUUUUGAAGGGGAGUGCCAGUUUCUUUAAACUGAGUGCUGGGCUGAUAACACUGUUUGCUUUUGGUAGCCUACUUAGUCCAGAUAGUCUUUUCAGUGCUAGAUAAUCUUUUCAGCCCAGCCAAACUCAAAUUCUGAGUAAUUUGUUUAAUAAAAAAAUGAAAAAAAAGGAAAAACCCCACAUCAAGACUUAAGAGCUCUGUAAUUUGAGUUUUCUUGAAUAUGGGCAAAAGCAACUUUGCUUUCUUAUUUUUGGGACUAUUCUUCAUUCAUACAAAGAACUGUAUGUCUGUUUCCUUUACUGAACUUGUGAAGGAGAAAUCACUUUGGCAAUGAACAGGGAAAGAAGUGUCAUUCUCAGGCAGUCAUGACACGGGAAAGGAGCCAGAGUAGUCCAAUCAAAAAAACAUGUGAGUAUCAUGCUGCUGUUCCUGAUUGUCCUCAAGGUUCCACAUAGUGACUGUAUAUGCAUUUGAAAGUGUUCUGGUCUGUGGUGCUGGCUCAGGGAGUGGGUCAGACUGGAGUGAACUCUGGCAUGAACAGAUAGUCUGUUUCAGA